Phrynosoma platyrhinos (Desert horned lizard) is the source of this 71-nucleotide non-coding RNA. The record is from the annotation of a GenBank genome assembly. Lineage: Eukaryota; Metazoa; Chordata; Lepidosauria; Squamata; Phrynosomatidae.
CCCUGCAUAGUAUAGUGGUUUGAGCUUGGACUAUGACUCUGAAGACAUGGGUUUGAAUCCCAGUUUGGCCA